AGGCUUACACCACAGCCACAGCAACAGGAUCCAAACAUAUGUAUGACCUAUGCGGCAGCUUGUGGCAACCCUGUUUUUUAACCCACUUAGCGAGGCCAGGAAUUGAACCUGCAUCCUCAAGGAGACUACAUCAUGUUCUUAACCCUCCGAGCCACAACAGGAACUCCAAUAACAGCUGAUCACAGUGGAUCAGGGAUGUUCAGCCUUGUGAGGGAGACUCUGAAGGCUGCAAGGCAUUGCUGUCAUGAGUAGCUAUGUGCCCUUAUAUAAGGGUUGUAGACAUGGGAGUGGCACGCGGAUACAGAUCCUGGCGGUAGAAAGAAUCUAUUGGAACAAACCUGCUCCAGCGUCCAUUCUCUUGAACUUGCUCUAUACCUACAAGCUCUGGCACAGAUGAAUUUAUUUCUUGAGUUUCUCCCCUCUAAGGAAUCCUGUGAAAGUAGCAGAGGCCCUAUCUUAGGAUAGCUUCUCUCUUAGUCUUACAUUCUGCUUUCUCUGCAAUGCAGUUGAUGGCUGGGGUUUCAUAAAUCAACUGGGAGUUCAGUGGUAUGAAAAUAAAUGCCAUACCAAAUGCUUUCAGAACAGAAUUUAGUUACAUCCCUUGUGGCGCCAUCAAAAAUCCUGUCACCAACAGAAAUUCUAGGUCUGUUUGUUUAAGGAUAUAAUGGGCCCGUCUGUGUAUCAUACAUGUAAAUAGGCAGCAAGGUACCCUAAUACAGACUGCUGUAUCAUUGGCACUCUAUCUAAUGCACCAUUAUAUCCGGCCCUAUGACUGUGUGAGAUUAGAAUCUUCUGUAAAAACAGUGAAAAUUUCAUACAAUUUAACCCUCAUAUAACGUAGUAAUUUAUAAAAUGGGAAUUACACUUGUUUGCACUGGUAAACAUAAUAAGGGGAGUCCUCCAUGUUACAUAAAAAUGAAAACUAACAGAAUUUAAAAGUAUCUAAAUUGGGAGGGAUUUUUAUAAUCAUCUAGGCAAUAACAAUUUCCAUUUUAAUUUUUUUUCCAGCCAUGAUUAAAUCCUAUCAAGAACAGUGACAUCACAAGUUAGUAAGAAAGCUUACAGAGUUUCCAUUAUUAUUUCAAUAAUAUUUGAAUCAUUACCUCUCUCGUUGGAUGUGAAUCCAACAGGACUUUCCCCUACUACAUAGGAGUUUUGUACCCAGAAAUUCUCAAUAUAGCCAAAUCUGGAACAAAAACUCUAAAUAUAAAGUCUUUUCCUUGUUCUUAAUAAUACUCCUUUAGAUUUCAAUAUUUUAGAUCAGACUAAAGAAUUGCCUUUUAUUUCUUACCAGGUAAGACACAUGCCUAAGAAAAAACAACCUGUCAAAAUUGGAUGAACCAUGUUACUCAAGCAAAGGACCAGGCCAUUGCCCAGGGAUGGUGAUUAUAGGUUGCAGUAUAGAAAAUUAAUAUUUGCGAAGCAAUGGAAAAUUUGCUAUGCUAAGCUGUCCUAACAGUAGAUUUUAUGAUUAGAAGAUGUUGUAGUUUAAUGGACAAAUUUUGGACUUGGUGUUAAAAAGUCAUAAAUUAAUUUUCUAAUUUGGCAUCUAUCUUGCUGGUGAUCAUGUACAGGGCACUUAAUUGCUUUGCUCCAUCACCUACGGAAAUAUGACCACUCUGAUUUUUAAAGGACCAUUUAAAUUACAUAUACAACAAAUACAUUUAUGUGGAGAUACAAAGGGAAAAUUAUAAAACAAAAUAUCCACCUGCACAUCAUCUAGGUCACGUCUUACUUUUAGGAAUAUUUAAUCUUCCUAUGCCUGCUCUUUUUUUUUCUCUUAAAAUGGAUGCUGUAAUAGUAUUUACAUCUUUGACUUGCUAGGAGGAAUAACUAGACAAUGCUUAUAAAUCACUUAGCACAGUAUUUGACACCUAAUAAUGCUUAGCGAAUAUUACUUUUAUGAUUAUUAUUUAUUACUUAAAAUGCCCAGCAAAAGAUGAAACUUUUUCUAAUGUUGAGGAUAAUUUCCAAGAUAAAACAAUGGCCUUUGACUACAAUUUGAUUGUGAAGUAAAAAAAGAAAAAAAAAUGAGCCAUGGAAUAAUCCUUGGAAAAAGAGUAACAAGAAGCAAAUGGCUUAUUUGGCUAUAUAAAAUUAUAUUUACAUAAAAAUUCUUUACAAUUGCUUUUCCACUACACAGCUUUUCUCCGAAGUCUCAUAUUUUUCUCUGAGACCUCUUAACAGAGCUGCCAAAUAGUAACAGUAGUUUGAAAUGCUGUUUUGAAAACUAUAAAUAAUGUAGGCUCCAGGGGGGAAAUAAAGGGUACAAUUUACCUGUCUGUUCUGAUUAGAGGUGCUAAUUGAACGUGAAGGUAUCUGUGCAUAAAAAUGUUACAUUCCAAUGAGAGGGGAAAAAAUACAUUUUUAAAAACUUACUCUAGAUUCAUAAAGGCAAAUGAAAUUUUAAAAGCCUUCUAGUACAAAGCUUUUAUUUAAGGUUUGAGUACUUUCUGGAACAUUCCUGCUGCUAUAGCUGGUCAUUCAGAUUAUAUUUGCAUGCCAAUGACUGGAAAUGUUUCACUUCCUAAAUCAUGCCAUGCUAUAGCUGAGGAAUAGGGGAGCCAUGGAAGAAGCACAGCUCUUUGGACUGGCAUACUCUGGGUUUGUAUUCUGGCUCUAAGCAAUGCGUAUUGAGUGUCCUUCAUAAAAACAGUCGUGCUAAGACUCAUUAUGUGUAAGAUAGUGACCAUCUCUGCCUCUGACAGUUUUCUGUGUUAACUUGACUAAACCAGUUAUUAUUUAUUUCUCUGUUUGUUUGUUUUUGUUUAUUAUGGCCGUACUCACUGCAUAUGGAAGUUCCCAGGCCAGGGAUGGAAUCUGAGCUGUAGCUGCGACCUACGCCACUGCUACAAAUUUGGGUAAACUAAUUUUUAAGUGGAUGAUGCCUAGUUAAUGAUGUUUUUGGCUAAAGAUAAAUAAAAUUUUAAACUACGAAAAGAUCAAUCUGUGAAGUUAUCUGAGUAAGGAAUGAAAAAUCUUAUAAGACGGAUGUUCAAAGUCAUGUAGGGGAACUUGGUGACAUAUAACCAUCAGAGUUUGCAUGACAUAUCGAAGAAGAUAAAACACCACCUUCUAGGUUUGAAGGUUACUGCAUUCAUUGAUGUAGGUGGUCUCAUAUGAAAGUCAAUGUGCAGGAAACCUGGGGUCCUAGAUUAUAUCUCUGGCCUUAUCAAUGAGUCCAUUUUGAAUAUAAGAAGAUUCUCUUAGUUGCCUAAAAUAAAACCAAAGUGAUAUUUUUUCCCAGGAUGUUUUUCCCAUUUGCAAAAUAACAUAUCAAAUUGACGCAAGAUAUGAAGGAAACUCAUAUUAUUAUAUUUUUAAUCAACUGCCCUUACAAACAGAAUAUAAAGUACAUGAGGUCAGAACUAUAUAACUACUGAACAUACUUUUUUUCCAGCUGUCAAAGUAAAACUUUGGGCAUUUGACCUCCAUUUUUGGAAAAAGCAAUUAGCACUGAUUACUGUAUUCUUCAAUUAUGCAUAAUCUACAUGGAAGAAUGCUCUUUGAAUCCAGAGUUUGGUGUACAAGUCCUGGUUUCAUCUACUCACUUAACGCAUCCAGAGAGUAAUUCAGUGGCUGUACAAAAAGUACCUGCACUUCUCAGAAGGUACCCUGCUCUUCCCAGCCCCUCUAUUUCUGCACAGCUAAAGCCUCUCUUUCCCUUCUGUCGUGGGAAACUCCCACACAUCCUUCAGUUCCAGUUCAGAGUCCACUUUUUCCUCCAUUCUAGAUUUUUUUAAAAGCAGAGUUAAGCAUGUCCAUCUCUUGAGAGUGCCAAGAUCAUACCUCUGUUUUCCUCCUACAACAAUUAUUUACAGGUUUAUUCUUUACUUAACUGUGGCCCCAGAGGACUGGGACAUGGAGCAAUUCAUCUCUCAGUCCAUUGUGUCCAGCAUAAAGAAGGUCUUUAUUAAAGACUGUUCCAGCAAGUUCAUGGAUAAACUUCCAUCACUUUUUUUUUAAAUAGGAUUUUAAGCUCCCUGAGUAUGUAAAUCUCAUACAGAUUCAAUAUAUCUUACCUUUACACAAACCAGAUCUGUUCUAAUGUUCAUUUAGAAUGUCACAUCUGUCACGAAUGCCCGUUUAUACUUUUGAGGAUGUUUUCUGUUUUCAUUUGAACUUCUCCUCCAAAUUACUUUGGGGGGGAAUAUUAUAAACAAAGUAGCUGCUCUCAAGCUCAAUAUUACAACCUGAAGUUUGACAGCAAAGCAAGUUUUCUGAACUUAAAAACUGUCUUUUACACUUUUUUUUUUCAAAAUUUCUUUCCAUUAUGGUUUAAUCAUAGGACACUGAAUAUCAUUCUCUGUGCUAUACAUAGGCUCUGGCUGAUUAUCCCCCUCAUGUAUAAUCUCCUAACCCCAACUUCCCAUUCCAUCCUUUCCCCAAACCCCUCCCCCUUGGCAACCUCAAGUUUGCUCUCUGUCAGAACUGCAUUUUUCAUCAAUAAUUUCUCCCACCAAACAGCCAUCUGAUAUUCCAAGAGUAUUCCCAGAUGUACAACCAUCCACUGCACUGGAGUAUUUUUUUCUCCAUUCAUGAGCACAUUCACCAAUCUAUCUAUCUACGUCGCCAACAACUGCUGUGUAAACACUCAGAGCCUACCAGGCUCUGAGCUCAGGGCUGAAGAUCCAGUGAUGAAAAAGGCAGAGGACUUGCCCCCACACAGCACACAACACACAGAAGAGAGGCAGGCUGGUGACAAGCACUGCAGCAAAAGAUGACACAACGAGUUAAGCGCCACCAGGGAAACGUGCCAGGUACAAUGGGCGAAAUGCAGGAAAGCAGGGACUCAGAGAUGUAAAGAAAGAAAGAUGUGAAAGUACUUCGUAUGCCAUACCUCUCAGGGUCUGAAGAAACCCUGGUGUCACCCCAGAUCAUCCUUUGCACUGACUUCAGCCAAGGAACAGGAACAGCCUCCUAACCUCUCCACAGUAUGUCU
RNAcentral lists this long non-coding RNA (4942 nucleotides) under Sus scrofa (pig). RNAcentral describes it as "lncRNA (ENSSSCG00000043133.2)". The record is from RNAcentral. Lineage: Eukaryota; Metazoa; Chordata; Mammalia; Artiodactyla; Suidae.